GGUCAAGAGCGCCAGCGUCAAGCCCCGGCUCGCUGGCCGGCAACCCUCCUCCGCGGUGGGGUGCCCCGGGUGAGGACCUGGCCGUGCGGGCAACAGGCCCGACGGCAAGCGCGGGCA
This 117-nucleotide non-coding RNA is filed under the name Luteipulveratus halotolerans. RNAcentral describes it as "SAM (S-adenosyl methionine) riboswitch aptamer". It matches the Rfam family "SAM (S-adenosyl methionine) riboswitch aptamer". From Rfam's summary of the family: SAM-IV is a mRNA element that regulates gene expression via direct sensing of S-adenosylmethionine (SAM or AdoMet). SAM-IV riboswitches share conserved nucleotide positions with the previously described SAM-I riboswitches sequence analysis and molecular recognition experiments suggest that SAM-I and SAM-IV riboswitches share similar ligand binding sites, but have different scaffolds. The record is from Rfam by way of RNAcentral. Lineage: Bacteria; Bacillati; Actinomycetota; Actinomycetes; Micrococcales; Dermacoccaceae. RNAcentral also lists the same sequence under 1 other name.